ACCAGACUCCUACGGGAGGCAGCAGUGGGGAAUAUUGCACAAUGGGGGGAACCCUGAUGCAGCGACGCCGCGUGGGUGAAGGAGUAUUUCGGUAUGUAAAGCCCUGUCAGCAGGGAAGAAAAUGACGGUACCUGAAGAAGAAGCCCCGGCUAACUACGUGCCAGCAGCCGCGGUAAUACGUAGGGGGCAAGCGUUAUCCGGAUUUACUGGGUGUAAAGGGGGCGCAGACGGCGAUGCAAGCCAGGAGUGAAAGCCCGGGGCCCAACCCCGGGACUGCUCUUGGAACUGCGUGGCUGGAGUGCAGGAGGGGCAGGCGGAAUUCCUGGUGUAGCGGUGAAAUGCGUAGAUAUUAGGAGGAACACCAGUGGCGAAGGCGGCUUACUGGACGGCAACUGACGCUGAGGCUCGAAAGCGUGGGGAGCAAACAGGAUUAGAUACCCCGGUAUUC
Molecule: ribosomal RNA, 448 nt
Filed under: uncultured bacterium
Lineage: Bacteria
Description: bacterial SSU rRNA
Rfam family: Bacterial small subunit ribosomal RNA
Source: RNAcentral